Molecule: long non-coding RNA, 1282 nt
Organism: Melopsittacus undulatus (budgerigar)
Lineage: Eukaryota; Metazoa; Chordata; Aves; Psittaciformes; Psittaculidae
Exons: 2
Source: RefSeq, a predicted model, not a curated record
UGCUGCUUGGGGCGUUCCUGUGGGGUUAGCGGUGUGUGGAGGGCAGUGAGAACGGGCAUUGGGACAUAAAAGUCCCAGGUGGCUGUGUUCCCUGCAUGGGGAGCUGCGUUGGAGCCGUUUGUAGCCGUUAAGUGUGUCGGGUGAGGCGGUGGGACGGGGCCUGGCUCUGUUUGCUGUGUCUUUUACCAGGUAGGCUUGUGAAUGAGGUGCCAGGGAUGGGCUGGUAGGGCUUAGUUUCUGUGCCUUCUGGUAGGGCAAAACCCCCUGCUUGUUGUCUCCGUGUAUUUGAAACUGGUUUUAGCAAACACGGGGACCGGUUUUAUCGCGGGUACAGGCAAAAUGUGCUUUAUGUGCUCGGUGGGAUUCCUGCUUGCCCCCUUGCAUGCAGUCACCAGGUGUUUGGUGGAGCUGUUACCCUUGGUUUUACCUCAGGUGGCUGUAAAAGCCUCUGGGAGCUGCUUGUCGAUAUCCACAAAGGUGGGGAUUGCUGGAAAACUGCCUUGUCCAACUGUUUUGCAGCGCAGGAGGGAGAUGCUUUUACCUGCCUUGAGAGCAGAUAAACUGCAAUGAAAGUGACUGACAGCUAAGCACAAGUUAUGCUGAGAGCCGGGAGAAAGGUCAAGCUGGAUCCAGCUUAAGGUGUGAACAGAGGUGGCCCCUGGGCUGAGACUUCCCAAAGGAAGGUUUGGGCUGGAAGUUUGUGUUCAUGGCACAGGUGAAGACCUUUGGAAAAGGACUUUAAUCAUGGGAACAAAGUCUCUGUUAAGUAGCCAAAAUAACGGUUAAAGUUUCUGAGGAUGCAGGGAUACUUUUUCCUUUGUUAGAUAGAAGAGCAUGUUCUGUGUUCUAAUGGUAUGGAAUUGUAUAAAGUGCCCCCUCCAAAGGGUUGGGGGAGCUUGCUCAAAGUUCAAACCCAACAUUAAAUGUUUUAACCUGUUAGUUUCCCUUCUGCCUCAUUUGUGUGCAUGCUGCUUUGUGUUGCAAGGGGUUGAGAGGCCUCGAGAGCUGAAAAGGAAUGGAAAUGUUCCAUAAAUAAAUGUUUUUGCGGAGUAAAGCUUUUCUUAAACAAGAACAGCAAAAUCUGGACUGAUACUUUUAGGAUACGAAAGAAAGUGAAUCAGUUUUAAAACUGGACGUGAUCAUGCCAUUUAACUGUGGAUCCUGCUUUGUAAUAGAGGAGGAAACAGUUACAUGUUGAUGAAGCACUCCUUGGUCUUAGUUGUGGAGUUUUCAUUAAGUGUUUCUAUGAAUAAAGCUGUCAAACUGUUACAGAUUUCAUUGA